Bos taurus (domestic cattle) is the source of this 362-nucleotide long non-coding RNA. Lineage: Eukaryota; Metazoa; Chordata; Mammalia; Artiodactyla; Bovidae. The record is from Ensembl.
GUAGGGAGGACCGGAGAGAAAAAACAUGAAGCUUUAAAUCUGCUCGUUGCCCAGUUAUUUCAAGAUUGUGUUCAAAAUGCAGAUGAGGUCGGUCACCAUAGAGCUUGAAUGGAGUUCCCUGUGCUAUACGGUGAACAGUGAAGGGAUUCAGCCAUGGAUUUACAUGAUACAUGGAUCCGUCCUCCCCCAAACUGUCCUCCCAUCCAGGCAGCCACAUAACACUGAGCAGACUGCCGUGAGCUAAACGAUAGAUCCUUGUUGGUGACACACAACUAUUUUUUGUCUAUUGAUAUUGUAUCUGGCAACUUUGCCAAAUUUGCUUACUUUCACAGUUUUUUGAUGGAGUAUUUUGAGCUUUCCAU